Molecule: ribosomal RNA, 443 nt
Filed under: uncultured bacterium
Lineage: Bacteria
Description: partial 16S ribosomal RNA
Rfam family: Bacterial small subunit ribosomal RNA
Source: RNAcentral
CCUACGGGUGGCAGCAGUGGGGAAUAUUGGACAAUGGGGGGAACCCUGAUCCAGCGACGCCGCGUGAGUGAAGAAGUAUUUCGGUAUGUAAAGUUCUAUCAGCAGGGAAGAAAGAAAUGACGGUACCUGACUACGAAGCCCCGGCUAACUACGUGCCAGCAGCCGCGGUAAUACGUAGGGGGCAAGCGUUAUCAGGAUUUACGGGGUGUAAAGGGGGCGUAGACGGUUACGCACGUCUGGGGUGAAAGGCGGGGGCCCAACCCCCGGACUGCUUUGGAAACUGUAUAACUGGAGUGCAGGAGAGGUAAGUGGAAUGCCUAGUGUAGCGGUGAAAUGCGUAGAUAUUAGGAGGAACACCAGUGGCGAAGGCGGCUUACUGGACUGUAACUGACGUUGAGGCUCGAAAGCGUGGGGAGCAAACAGGAUUAGAUACCCGAGUAGUC